CACCUCUUAGGGUCACACCUGCAGAGUUUCCAGUACUCUACCAGUUUCAACUAUGGGAGGGUCAAGCAGGGGCCUACCCAUUCCAUUCCUAGCUUGGGCAGUGGCUAGCGAGUGGAAGGCAAUCUGCUACAAGU
Tachyglossus aculeatus (Australian echidna) is the source of this 134-nucleotide small nucleolar RNA. The record is from RefSeq and is a predicted model, not a curated record. NCBI's taxonomy places the organism in Eukaryota, Metazoa, Chordata, Mammalia, Monotremata, Tachyglossidae.